Molecule: long non-coding RNA, 479 nt
Organism: Amborella trichopoda
Lineage: Eukaryota; Viridiplantae; Streptophyta; Magnoliopsida; Amborellales; Amborellaceae
Source: RefSeq, a predicted model, not a curated record
UCAGGCAAACGCAUGACUUCUCGCAGAUGUUUCGCUAAUAAGAUAUUCUUACUAAAAAAAACCCCACCCAACCCUGCUGUUAAACCCUAGAAAUUUGCUUCCAUUUUUCUCGCUGAUAAACCCUUGAAUUUUUACCGUAUUAGAUCCUUCUUAUUUGAUCAUACAUGAAAGGGAGAAUAGGAUCCCAAUUUUUUCAAACACAAAGGGUCUUUGGAGCAAUCAGCCAUGGAUUUGAGGGAAUCAAUCCUAAUUUAUAUCCUUCUUAUUUGAUCGAUUUCUCAUAGUGGAGGACCUCAGUUGAGCUUUGUUAAUGGAUUUUGGGUUGAUAAGAGUUACGGUCUCAAGGCUUGACUUCUUAACACGGUGAAUUCGAUUUACUAGACUAGCCCUAAGCCUGCGAAUUUCCAGGAAAAGGGCAGUGAUCCAUUUUGAUGUUUACACCAUCUAAACCAGUCAAGGUCACUUGCACUUUGGUAUCA